This is a long non-coding RNA of Aquila chrysaetos chrysaetos, 125 nucleotides long. RefSeq lists it as uncharacterized. The transcript is spliced from 3 exons. Lineage: Eukaryota; Metazoa; Chordata; Aves; Accipitriformes; Accipitridae. The record is from RefSeq and is a predicted model, not a curated record.
AAAUCUUCCCAGAUCAUUGAAUCAUAGGAUGGUUUCGAUUGGAAGGGACCUUAAAGACCAUCUAGUUCCAACCCCCCUGCCAUGGGCAGGAACACCUUCCACUAGACCAGGUUGCUCAAAGCCCC